RNAcentral lists this ribosomal RNA (267 nucleotides) under uncultured bacterium. Its description in RNAcentral is "partial 16S ribosomal RNA". It matches the Rfam family "Bacterial small subunit ribosomal RNA", at positions 87 to 354 of the family's 1533-position model. The record is from RNAcentral.
GCCGGCGACCGGCGGACGGGUGCGUAACGCGUAUGUAACCUACCUUUGACAGGGGGAUAACAUCGAGAAAUUGGUACUAAUACCCCAUAACAUCACCGGAGGCAUCUUCGGUGGUUGAAAACUCAGGUGGUCAGAGAUGGACAUGCGUUGUAUUAGCUAGUUGGUGAGGUAACGGCUCACCAAGGCGACGAUACAUAGGGGGACUGAGAGGUCAACCCCCCCACAUUGGUACUGAGACACGGACCAAACUCCUACGGGAGGCAGCAG